RNAcentral lists this ribosomal RNA (301 nucleotides) under uncultured bacterium. RNAcentral describes it as "partial 16S ribosomal RNA". It matches the Rfam family "Bacterial small subunit ribosomal RNA", at positions 509 to 809 of the family's 1533-position model. The record is from RNAcentral.
CAGUAGCCGCGGGAAUACGUAGGUGGCAAGCGUUGUCCGGAAUUAUUGGGCGUAAAGGGCUCGCAGGCGGUUUCUUAAGUCUGAUGUGAAAGCCCCCGGCUCAACCGGGGAGGGUCAUUGGAAACUGGGAAACUUGAGUGCAGAAGAGGAGAGUGGAAUUCCACGUGUAGCGGUGAAAUGCGUAGAGAUGUGGAGGAACACCAGUGGCGAAGGCGACUCUCUGGUCUGUAACUGACGCUAAGGAGCGAAAGCGUGGGGAGCGAGCAGGAUUAGAUACCCGAGUAGUCCCUGUCUCUUAUAA